UACGUAGGCAGCGAGCGUUGUUCGGAAUUACUGGGCGUAAAGAGUGUGUAGGCGGUGCUCUAAGUUCGGUGUGAAAUCUCCUGGCUUAACUGGGAGGGUGCGCCGGAAACUGGAGUGCUCGAGCGUGGGAGAGGAGAGCGGAAUUCCUGGUGUAGCGGUGAAAUGCGUAGAUAUCAGGAGGAACACCUGUGGUGUAGACGGCUUUCUGGACCAUAGCUGACGCUGAGACACGAAAGCGUGGGUAGCAAACAGG
Molecule: ribosomal RNA, 253 nt
Filed under: uncultured bacterium
Lineage: Bacteria
Description: partial 16S ribosomal RNA
Rfam family: Bacterial small subunit ribosomal RNA
Source: RNAcentral